The sequence is a transfer RNA, 96 nucleotides long. It matches the Rfam family "tRNA". From Rfam's summary of the family: Transfer RNA (tRNA) molecules are approximately 80 nucleotides in length. The record is from Rfam.
UCCCUCGUGGCGCAAUUGGCUAGCGCGUUCGACUGUUAAGCAUCGAAAGAUGCAAGAGAGAUCGAGAGGUUGGUGGUUCGAGCCCACCCGAGGGAG